UACGAAGGGUGCUAGCGUUGUUCGGAAUUACUGGGCGUAAAGCGAUCGUAGGCGGUGUUCCCCGUCAGGGGUGAAAGCCUGGGGCUCAACUCCAGAAUUGCCUUUGAAACGGGGACGCUUGAGUCCGAGAGAGGGUGGCGGAAUUCCUAGUGUAGAGGUGAAAUUCGUAGAUAUUAGGAAGAACACCAGUGGCGAAGGCGGCCACCUGGCUCGGUACUGACGCUCAGGUUCGAAAGCUAGGGGAGCAAACAGG
RNAcentral lists this ribosomal RNA (253 nucleotides) under uncultured bacterium. Its description in RNAcentral is "partial 16S ribosomal RNA". It matches the Rfam family "Bacterial small subunit ribosomal RNA", at positions 524 to 776 of the family's 1533-position model. The record is from RNAcentral.